RNAcentral lists this ribosomal RNA (259 nucleotides) under uncultured bacterium. RNAcentral describes it as "partial 16S ribosomal RNA". It matches the Rfam family "Bacterial small subunit ribosomal RNA", at positions 1242 to 1500 of the family's 1533-position model. The record is from RNAcentral.
AAGAGAAGCAAAGCCGCGAGGUAGAGCAAAUCUCAAAAAAACAAUCUCAGUUCAGACUGCAGGCUGCAACUCGCCUGCACGAAGUCGGAAUUGCUAGUAAUCGUAGGUCAGCAUACUACGGUGAACACGUUCCCGGGCCUUGUACACACCGCCCGUCAAACCAUGAGAGUUGGCAACACCCGAAGUCGGUAGUCUAACCGCAAGGAGGACGCCGCCGAAGGUGGGGUUGAUGAUUAGGGUUAAGUCGUAACAAGGUACC